GCGCCCUUAGCUCAGUUGGUCAGAGCAGGAGACUCAUAAUCUCUUGGUCGCAGGUUCAAGCCCUGCAGGGCGCACAA
RNAcentral lists this transfer RNA (77 nucleotides) under Flavobacteriales bacterium. RNAcentral's name for it is "tRNA-Met". It matches the Rfam family "tRNA". Rfam says of the family: Transfer RNA (tRNA) molecules are approximately 80 nucleotides in length. Their secondary structure includes four short double-helical elements and three loops (D, anti-codon, and T loops). Further hydrogen bonds mediate the characteristic L-shaped molecular structure. tRNAs have two regions of fundamental functional importance: the anti-codon, which is responsible for specific mRNA codon recognition, and the 3' end, to which the tRNAs corresponding amino acid is attached (by aminoacyl-tRNA synthetases). tRNAs cope with the degeneracy of the genetic code in two manners: having more than one tRNA (with a specific anti-codon) for a particular amino acid; and 'wobble' base-pairing, i.e. permitting non-standard base-pairing at the 3rd anti-codon position. Lineage: Bacteria; Pseudomonadati; Bacteroidota; Flavobacteriia; Flavobacteriales. RNAcentral also lists the same sequence under 1 other name. The record is from RNAcentral.